GCGGGUGCUUUCACAUGCAAGUCGGACGGCAGCACAGAGAAGCUUGCUUCUUGGGUGGCGAGUGGCGAACGGGUGAGUAACAUAUCGGAACGUACCGAGCAGUGGGGGAUAACUAAUCGAAAGAUUAGCUAAUACCGCAUAUCUUCUGAGGAAGAAAGCAGGGGACCAUUUGGCCUUGCGCUGUUUGAGCGGCCGGUAUCUGAUUAGCUAGUUGGUGGGGUAAAGGCCUACCAAGGCGACGAUCAGUAGCGGGUCUGAGAGGAUGAUCCGCCACACUGGGACUGAGACACGGCCCAGACUCCUACGGGAGGCAGCAGUGGGGAAUUUUGGACAAUGGGCGCAAGCCUGAUCCAGCCAUGCCGCGUGUCUGAAGAAGGCCUUCGGGUUGUAAAGGACUUUUGUCAGGGAAGAAAAGGGCGGGGUUAAUACCCCUGUCUGAUGACGGUACCUGAAGAAUAAGCACCGGCUAACUACGUGCCAGCAGCCGCGGUAAU
RNAcentral lists this ribosomal RNA (494 nucleotides) under uncultured bacterium. RNAcentral describes it as "bacterial SSU rRNA". It matches the Rfam family "Bacterial small subunit ribosomal RNA", at positions 42 to 524 of the family's 1533-position model. The record is from RNAcentral.